AUUGAACGCUGGCGGCAUGCUUUACACAUGCAAGUCGAACGGUAACAGGCCUUCGGGUGCUGACGAGUGGCGAACGGGUGAGUAAUGCAUCGGAACGUACCCAGAGGUGGGGGAUAACGCAGCGAAAGCUGUGCUAAUACCGCAUGUGAUCUGAGGAUGAAAGCGGGGGACCGAGCAGCAAUGUUUGGCCUCGCGCCUUUGGAGCGGCCGAUGUCGGAUUAGCUAGUUGGUGGGGUAAAGGCCUACCAAGGCGACGAUCCGUAGCUGGUCUGAGAGGACGACCAGCCACACUGGGACGGAGACACGGCCAAGACUCCUACGGGAGGCAGCAGUGGGGAAUUUUGGACAAUGGGCGCAAGCCUGAUCCAGCAAUGCCGCGUGCGGGAAGAAGGCCUUCGGGUUGUAAACCGCUUUUGGCAGGAACGAAACGGUGUCCGCUAAUACCGGGCGCUAAUGACGGUACCUGCAGAAUAAGCACCGGCUAACUACGUG
RNAcentral lists this ribosomal RNA (492 nucleotides) under uncultured bacterium. RNAcentral's name for it is "partial 16S ribosomal RNA". It matches the Rfam family "Bacterial small subunit ribosomal RNA", at positions 29 to 507 of the family's 1533-position model. The record is from RNAcentral.